AUGCCAUGGCACUCCCCAUAUGCCACAGCACCCCCCAUGCCACAGCACUCCCCUAUGCCGGGUCACUCCCCUAUGCCGGGGCACUCCCCCUAUGCCGGGUCACUCCCCUAUACCACAGCACUCCCCUAUGCCGGGUCACUCCCCUAUGCCGGGGCACUCCCCCUAUGCGAGGUCACUCCCCCUAUGCCACAGCACUCCCCCUAUGCCACAGCACUCCCCUAUGCCGGGGCCCUCACCUUAUGUGCACAGGACACCAGGGAGCCAGGGCCACCAGGACCUCUCAGACCAGCAGCAACUAACUGGCAGUUCCAUCUGCAGACAUGGGGUUCUGCAAUAGUGCAUGGGGAGCGUGUAUGUGUGCUGUGUGAUUGUGUGAGUGCAUGUGGAGUGUGUGUGUGUGCCGUGUGUGUUGUGUGGGUGCAUGUGGAGAGUGUGUGUGUGCUGUGUGGUUGUGUGAGUGCAUGUGGAGUGUGUGUGUGUGCCAUGUGUGUUUUGUGGGUGCAUGUGGAGCGUGUGUGUGUGCUGUGUGGUUGUGUGAGUGCAUGUGGAGUGUGUGUGUGUGCUGUGUGGUCGUGUGAGUGCAUGUGGAGUGUGUGUGUGCUGUGUAGUUGUGUGAGUGCAUGUGGAGUGUGUGUAUGCUGUGUGUCAUGUGAGUGCAUGUAGAGUGUGUGUGCCGUGUGUGGUCGUGUGAGUGCAUGUGGAGUGUGUGUGUGCUGUGUGGUCGUGUGAGCACAUGUGGAGUGUGUAUGCUGUGUGUCAUGUGAGUGCACGUGGAGUGUGUGUGUGCUGUGUGUGGUCGUGUGAGUGCAUGUGGAGUGUGUGUGUGCUGUGUGAGUGCAUGUGGACUGUGGGUGUGUGCCGUGUGUGGUUGUGUGAGUGCACGUGGAGUGUGUGUGUGCUGUGGGUACAGGAUACAUGAAUGCAUGCACGUUGUGUGCACGGCUGUGAUGUGUGUUCACGCUGUGGGUUUAGUGUGUGCAUGCUCUGAAUGGUGUAUGUGCAUGUACGUGUGUGCAUGUGGUGUGAGCACAUGCAUGUAGUGUCUGUGUGCAUGCAUGUGCUGUGUUUGCAUUUGGCGUGUGCACAUGCUGUGGAUGGCAUGGGCCUGGGGAGGAGGCAUGCAGGCAGGCAGAGCAAGCACAGACCGGUGGAGGGUGCGCUCUGGCAGCCUUCUAAUUGCUUUUUCCCCAGAACUGGCCUUGGCACCUCCUCCACUGGCCGCCCCACAUCCUGGGACCUGGAGCCCUGGCAGCAGAGGAAAGGCGAAGGUCCCACUGGCACCCAUCCAGAGGGUCAGGAUGGGACGGGGGCUUCAGAGGCACCCAGAUUCUGCUGAAGGUGCCAGGACCCUGAAGGCAGCACAGGCGAGGGGGCUGGGGACACGGUGGGUGAGGAGUUUCCACCAGCCCAGCUCAUAAUUCAUAGAUGUGAGUUAAAAGGCCCCCUCCCUCCACACCUUGGUGUUUACAAGAGCAAGCUCUUCCUGUGGGCCUGGAAGGGGCUGCUGGCCACACACAAAAGGAGAUAAAAAUCUCUGUCGGGAAGGGAGUGCCAAUUCCUGGAAAACAGGCCAAGCUCAGAGGUCAGCUACGGACCCUGGCCUCUGUCCACCCACCUCAGCCUCCCCUUUCUUCAUGGGUUGCAGUCCCAGAACCCCUCCUGCUCCAGGCAGUUCCAGGAAGAUGGAGGUGAGGGCCUAGGAGAGGGUGGAGCAGGGUAGGCAAGCUGGGCAAAGACCCCCUGACACUAGGGACCCUGUGUGCAGUGGGUGAGAAGAGGCCAGGGGACCAGCUUUUCCCAACAAAGGCUCUGAGCUCAACCAAAGGAGAAAAAGCAGUGACACACCAAAGAGCGGUGCAGGGAAGAAGGAAGUGCCUUCAGACAGCGGGAAGUGAGCGGGGAAGGAGGAAGUGCCUUCAGACGGCGGGAAGUGAGCGGGGGAAGGAGGAAGUGCCUUCAGACAGUGGGAAGUGAGUGUGCCAGGGUCCCGAGACAAGCUUGGAGUACCAGGACCCCCAUAAAUCCAGAUUGGCACCUUGUGCCUACCUGGGUUCCCUGUUCUGUUCCUUGGUCUAUGUGCCCGUUUUUAUGCGAGUACCAUGCUGUUUCGAUUACUGUGGCCUUGCAGUGUAUUUUGAAAUCAGGUAGUGUGAUGUUUCCAGCUUUUCGUUGGUUUGUUUGUUCUGUUUUGCUGAAGGCUGCUUUGGCCAUUUGAGGUCUUUUGUGGUUCUAUAUGAAUUUUAGGAUUUUUUUUCUAUUUUCUAUUUCCGUGAAGAAUGUCACUGGUAUUUUACAUAAGAAUGUCAUUGGUCAUCUUCUAUUUCUACUUCUUCUGUUUUCUAUUUCUGUGAAGAAUGUCAUUGGUAUUUUGAUGGGUAUUGAAUCUGCAGAUCACUUUAUGUGGUAUAGAGAUUUUAGCAAUAUCAUCUCUUCCACUCUGUGAACGUGGGUUAGCUUUCCAUUUACCUGUGUUCUCUUCAGUUUCUUUCAUGAGUGUUCCAGUUUUCAGUGUGCAGAUCUUUCAUCUUUUUGGUUAAAUGUAUUCCUAAGUAUUUUAAUUUUUGUAGCUAUUGUCAAUGGAAUUUUUAAAUUUCUUUUUUGGGUAGUUAUCUGUUAGUGUAUAGAAAUGCUACUGAUUUUUGGAUGUUGAUUUCAUUUCAUUUCAUUUUGUUUUUUAGAGACAGGGUCUCACUCUGUCACCCAGGUUGGAGUCAUGGCAGCCUUAGACUCCUGGACGAGAGUGGUCCUCCUGCCUCAGCCUCCCAAGCAGCUGGGACUACGGGCACAUGCCACCACGCCCAGCUAUGCAUGUUGAUUUUGUAGUCUACGACUUUACUGAGUGUGUUUAUUAGUUCUAACAGCUUUUUACUUGAGUCUUUCAGGUUUUUUACAUAUAAGAUCACGUUGUCUGGAAACAAUGAUAAUUCACCUUCUUCCUUCCUUUCUCUUGCCUAAUUCCUCCGGCGAGGACGUCCGGUACUGUGUUAAACAGAAACACUGAAAGUGGCUGUCCUCGUCUUGUACCAGAUCUUAGAGAAAAAUCUCAACUUUUCCCCAUUUGACAUGAUAUAUAUAUAUAUAUUACAGAAAACCGCCCCUCCCCUUGAUAUAAACUUAACUAUAGAUUUGUCAUAUGUGGCCUUGGUGAGGUCGAGGUACAUUCCUUCUACCCUUAAUUUGUUGAGAGUUUUAUGAUAAAGGGAUGUUGAAUUUUGUCAAGUGCCUUUUCUACGUCUAUUGAGAUAAUGAUGUGGUUUUUGUCCCUGAUCCUGCUGAGGAGAGGCAUCACGCUGAUGGAUUUGUGAAUGUUGAGCCUUCCUCGCUUCCCUGGCAUGAUUACCACUUGAUCCUGGCGAAUGAACUUUUUAAUGUGCCGUUGAUUUGGCUUGCUAAUGUCUGGCUGAGAAUUUUCGCCUCUGUCUCCAUCAAGAACACGGGCCUGUGGUGUUGUGGUCUAGUCUGGUAUUGGACAUGCCGGCCUCGUAGUAUGAGUUUGGAAGGGCUGUCUCCUUUUCCAUUUUUGGGAAAAGUUUGAAAACACUUGAUACUGUUUCUUCUUUAAAUCUUUGGUAGAAUUCAGCAGUGAAGCCACCGGGCCUUGGGCUUUUAUUUUUGAUGGGAGACUUUAGUAGUGACUCAAUCUCGUUACUCGUUAUUAAUCUGUUCAGAUUUUCUGUUUCUUCAUAACUUAAUCUUGGUUGGCUGCGUUUGUCCAGGAAUGCAUCCGUUUCUUCUCGGUUAUCGGACUCAGUGUGUAAUCGUCCGUGUAGUCUCUCUGAUUCUUUUCGUUUCUGUUUUGUCAAGUGUAAUGCCUCCUUUUUCAUCUCUGAUUUUUGUUUAUAGUUAGUCUACCUAAAGAUUUCUCAAUUUGUUUAUAUUUUUUAAAAACCAACUCUUGAUUUCACUGGUUUUUUGGUUUUUUAGACAGGGUCUCCCUCUGUCGCCCAGACUGGAGUGCAGUGGCAUGAUCACAGCUCACUGCAACCUUCACCUCCUGGGCUCAAGCAACCCUGCCUCAGCCUCCUGAAUAGCUGGGACUACAGGUGCAUGCCACCAUGCCCGGAUAAUUUUUGUAUUUUUUGG
Molecule: long non-coding RNA, 4083 nt
Filed under: Aotus nancymaae (Ma's night monkey)
Lineage: Eukaryota; Metazoa; Chordata; Mammalia; Primates; Aotidae
Description: lncRNA (ENSANAG00000039081.1)
Source: RNAcentral